CCUACGGGAGGCAGCAGUGGGGAAUCUUGGACAAUGGGCGCAAGCCUGAUCCAGCCAUGCCGCGUGAGUGAUGAAGGCCUUAGGGUCGUAAAGCUCUUUCGCCAGAGAUGAUAAUGACAGUAUCUGGUAAAGAAACCCCGGCUAACUCCGUGCCAGCAGCCGCGGUAAUACGGAGGGGGUUAGCGUUGUUCGGAAUUACUGGGCGUAAAGCGCACGUAGGCGGAUCAGAAAGUAUAGGGUGAAAUCCCAGGGCUCAACCCUGGAACUGCCUUGUAAACUCCWGGUCUUGAGUUCGAGAGAGGUGAGUGGAAUUCCGAGUGUAGAGGUGAAAUUCRUAGAUAUUCGGAGGAACACCAGUGGCGAAGGCGGCUCACUGGCUCGAUACUGACGCUGAGGUGCGAAAGUGUGGGGAGCAAACAGGAUUAGAUACCCUGGUAGUCCACACCGUAAACGAUGAAUGCCAGACGUCAGCAAGCAUGCUUGUCUGGUGUCACACCUAACGCAUUAAGCAU
Molecule: ribosomal RNA, 512 nt
Filed under: uncultured Alphaproteobacteria bacterium
Lineage: Bacteria; Pseudomonadati; Pseudomonadota; Alphaproteobacteria
Description: bacterial SSU rRNA
Rfam family: Bacterial small subunit ribosomal RNA
Source: RNAcentral